GCCAUGACGCGAUUAGCUUAGUCAGUAGAGCAUGAGACUCUCAGCCUCAAGGUCGGGGGUUCCAGCCCCAUGUUUGGGCA
Podarcis lilfordi (Lilford's wall lizard) is the source of this 80-nucleotide non-coding RNA. The record is from the annotation of a GenBank genome assembly. NCBI's taxonomy places the organism in Eukaryota, Metazoa, Chordata, Lepidosauria, Squamata, Lacertidae.